GGUUCAGGAUGAACGCUAGCGGCAGGCUUAACACAUGCAAGUCGAGGGGCAUCGGGAGUAGCAAUACUUGCCGGCGACCGGCGCAAGGGUGCGUAACGCGUGAGCAACAUGCCCGUAUCAGGGGGAUAAUCCAUGGAAACGUGGUCUAAUACCCCAUAGUAAUUAUGUAAGGCAUCUUAUAUAAUUUAAAGCUUUGGUGGAUACGGAUUGGCUCGCGUGACAUUAGCCAGAUGGUAAGGUAACGGCUUACCAUGGCUACGAUGUCUAGGGGUUCUGAGAGGAAGGUCCCCCACACUGGAACUGAGACACGGUCCAGACUCCUACGGGAGGCAGCAGUGAGGAAUAUUGGACAAUGGAUGGAAAUCUGAUCCAGCCAUGCCGCGUGCAAGGAAGACGGCCCUAUGGGUUGUAAACUGCUUUUGUAUGGGAGCAAUAAGGGCUACGUGUAGUCCGAUGAGAGUACCAUACGAAUAAGCACCGGCUAACUCCGUGCCAGCCGCCGC
RNAcentral lists this ribosomal RNA (503 nucleotides) under uncultured bacterium. Its description in RNAcentral is "bacterial SSU rRNA". It matches the Rfam family "Bacterial small subunit ribosomal RNA", at positions 21 to 518 of the family's 1533-position model. The record is from RNAcentral.